This is a long non-coding RNA of Centruroides sculpturatus (bark scorpion), 345 nucleotides long. RefSeq lists it as uncharacterized. The record is from RefSeq and is a predicted model, not a curated record. The transcript is spliced from 2 exons. NCBI's taxonomy places the organism in Eukaryota, Metazoa, Arthropoda, Arachnida, Scorpiones, Buthidae.
UAUCGAAUUGUUAGAAUAUAUUGUUGCUUUUUCUAUUGUAAGUAGACAUUUUUAAGCGAAAAUUUUUCCGAAAGUUUCGCUUUUCUCUUCGUUUUUCUCUGAGAUAUUCCGAGAGAAUUGCGAUUAGACCUAAAUAAAAUUCAGUAGUGUUAAUUCUGGCACUCCGAAAGUCGAAGCUCAGAACGAAGAAGGGACACGCCGACAGAAGACAAAGAGUUUUUUCUGUGUUUCGCUGUUAAAUUUUGGUAGUUAAAAAUUCAAUUAGCCAAAAUAUUAUCAUGUCAAGUUCUAGUCAGACAUGACAAUCGACAUGUCUGAAAAAUAAAACACAAGAAAUUAACAACU